GUUUUUGAAGAUAUAUACAGGACAUGUGAAUAGAGUCUAUUGUGUUGUGUCCACAUUUUCUGUCACCAAUGGAAAAUACAUCGUCAGUGGAUCGGAGGAUAAAUGUGUGUAUAUAUGGGAUCUACAGCAGAAAACCAUGAUUCAGAAACUUGAAGGCCACACUGAUGUUGUGAUUUCUGUGUCCUGCCAUCCAACUGAGAACAAGAUUGCAUCUGCAGGACUUGAUGGAGAUCGAUCAGUGAGAGUUUGGGUUCAAGAUUCG
This 262-nucleotide unclassified non-coding RNA is filed under the name Hevea brasiliensis (rubber tree). Lineage: Eukaryota; Viridiplantae; Streptophyta; Magnoliopsida; Malpighiales; Euphorbiaceae. The record is from RNAcentral.